This 410-nucleotide ribosomal RNA is filed under the name uncultured bacterium. RNAcentral's name for it is "SSU rRNA". It matches the Rfam family "Bacterial small subunit ribosomal RNA", at positions 28 to 424 of the family's 1533-position model. The record is from RNAcentral.
GAUGAACGCUAGCGAUAGGCCUUACACAUGCAAGUCGAGGGGCAGCACGAAGAAAGUAGCAAUACCUUCUUGGUGGCGACCGGCACACGGGUGAGUAACGCGUAUGCAACCUGCCUACUACUUUGGGAUAGCUCGUUGAAAGACGAAUUAAUACCUUAUGAAACAGGGGCUCCGCAUGGGGAUAUUUGUUAAAGAUUUAUUGGUAGUAGAUGGGCAUGCGUUCCAUUAGUUAGUUGGUGAGGUAACUGCUCACCAAGACGACGAUGGAUAGGGGAACUGAGAGGUUUGUCCCCCACACUGGAACUGAGACACGGUCCAGAUUCCUACGGGAGGCAGCAGUGAGGAAUAUUGGUCAAUGGAGGCAACUCUGAACCAGCCAAGUCGCGUGAAGGAUGACGGCCCUACGGGUU